UGGGGAAUAUUGGACAAUGGGCGCAAGCCUGAUCCAGCCAUGCCGCGUGAGUGAUGAAGGCCCUAGGGUUGUAAAGCUCUUUCACCGGUGAAGAUAAUGACGGUAACCGGAGGAGAAGCCCCGGCUAACUUCGUGCCAGCAGCCGCGGUAAUACGAAGGGGGCUAGCGUUGUUCGGAUUUACUGGGCGUAAAGCGCACGUAGGCGGACUAUUAAGUCAGGGGUGAAAUCCCGGGGCUCAACCCCGGAACUGCCUUUGAUACUGGUAGUCUUGAGUUCGAGAGAGGUGAGUGGAAUUCCGAGUGUAGAGGUGAAAUUCGUAGAUAUUCGGAGGAACACCAGUGGCGAAGGCGGCUCACUGGCUCGAUACUGACGCUGAGGUGCGAAAGCGUGGGGAGCAAACAGG
RNAcentral lists this ribosomal RNA (404 nucleotides) under Verrucomicrobiota bacterium. Its description in RNAcentral is "Verrucomicrobia bacterium partial 16S ribosomal RNA". It matches the Rfam family "Bacterial small subunit ribosomal RNA", at positions 355 to 776 of the family's 1533-position model. Lineage: Bacteria; Pseudomonadati; Verrucomicrobiota. The record is from RNAcentral.